CCUACGGGAGGCAGCAGUGGGGAAUAUUGCACAAUGGGCGCAAGCCUGAUGCAGCAACGCCGCGUGACGGACGACGGCCUUCGGGUUGUAAACCUCUUUUAGUAGGGAAGAAGCGAAUGUGACGGUACCUGCAGAAAAAGCACCGGCUAACUACGUGCCAGCAGCCGCGGUAAU
This 174-nucleotide ribosomal RNA is filed under the name uncultured Frigoribacterium sp. RNAcentral's name for it is "partial 16S ribosomal RNA". It matches the Rfam family "Bacterial small subunit ribosomal RNA", at positions 338 to 524 of the family's 1533-position model. The record is from RNAcentral. Lineage: Bacteria; Bacillati; Actinomycetota; Actinomycetes; Micrococcales; Microbacteriaceae.